AGCCAAUAAAUUUGAAAAAAAAAAGAAAAAAACAUUUUAAUUUUAAUUUUCCUAUUAUUAUUAAUUAUUAUUUUAUCUAAUUUUUGUUUUUAUUCUAUUUUUACAGGGAAACAUUCCAAGACAAAAUUUAAAUUCCACAUGUCAACCUACAAAUUCUUUUUAUUUUCCAGCCAAUGCCCACUCUACAUAUCCAUCAUUUUAAAAAAUCCUUUUACCCUAAGCUAGCCCAUUAACCCAAACCUAACCCAUCAUACCUACCCAAAAUCCAAAAGAAAAAAAAAGACCUUACACCCAUCAAAUCAAACUUUUUCACCUAGAACAAACCCACUACCCCAUAUUAACUCUCCACUUUUACCCCCACCUAAUUUUCUACUCCUCUCAAAUAAAUAAAAACUUCACCACCAAUCAAAUCCUACACCUUUCACCCAUCAUAUCCUAGCCUUCUCUUUACCCUAAAAAAAUAAUAAAACUACACACAAUCCCAUUUCCCCCCAUUUGACCGGCCAAAGAAAAAAAAUCUUUUUAGAAAAAAAAUCUUUUUCAAACUCUACCUUCUUUCUUUUAUUCCCCCUUUCUUUCUUCUUCACCUUCAACACUGCUAUUUUUUUUCUUUCCUUUACCAUCUUCAAAACAGACCUCACAGUAAGCCAUUGCACCACCCCACCAUGGUACGUACCCGCGACCGCGCAGCGCAAGAACCACCCUCAGUGGUAAACCAACGUCAAAACCGUUUUCCCGCUCCAACCUUUGUC
This 752-nucleotide long non-coding RNA is filed under the name Gossypium raimondii (Peruvian cotton). Its description in RNAcentral is "long non-coding RNA (GRAI_LNC010275)". Lineage: Eukaryota; Viridiplantae; Streptophyta; Magnoliopsida; Malvales; Malvaceae. The record is from RNAcentral.